This 175-nucleotide small RNA is filed under the name Chrysemys picta bellii (western painted turtle). Its description in RNAcentral is "TUC338 (ENSCPBG00000019946.1)". Lineage: Eukaryota; Metazoa; Chordata; Testudines; Emydidae. The record is from RNAcentral.
UGAAAAGACAACAGAGGACUUUAGUCCAAGGAUUUAUUCACGUAGGAACACCAGCAUGGGCAACAGUAAAAGGGAAAGCUUUCCCACACCAAUGUUUCUCAACCCAUUACUGAGAAACCACCUCUAGGGAAUGAGAAGGUAGUUCAGCCUUCAUGUCCUUUCAGUCUUUGCCUCC